UACAGAGGGUGCGAGCGUUAAUCGGAAUUACUGGGUGUAAAGCGUGCGUAGACGGUUGUCUAAGUCGGAUGUGAAAGCCCCGGGCUCAACCUGGGAAUUGCAUUCGAGACUGAACAGCUAGGGUGCGGAAGAGGGAAGCGGAAUUUCCGGUGUAGCAGUGAAAUGCGUAGAUAUCGGAAGGAACAUCAGUGGCGAAAGCGGCUUCCUGGUCCAGCACCGACGUUCAGGCACGAAAGCGUGGGGAGCAAACAGG
Molecule: ribosomal RNA, 253 nt
Filed under: uncultured bacterium
Lineage: Bacteria
Description: partial 16S ribosomal RNA
Rfam family: Bacterial small subunit ribosomal RNA
Source: RNAcentral